RNAcentral lists this ribosomal RNA (396 nucleotides) under uncultured bacterium. RNAcentral describes it as "partial 16S ribosomal RNA". It matches the Rfam family "Bacterial small subunit ribosomal RNA", at positions 523 to 918 of the family's 1533-position model. The record is from RNAcentral.
AUACGUAGGGGGCGAGCGUUGUCCGGAAUGAUUGGGCGUAAAGGGCGCGUAGGCGGCCCGGUAAGUCUGGAGUGAAAGUCCUGUUUUUAAGAUGGGAAUUGCUUUGGAUACUGUCGGGCUUGAGUGCAGGAGAGGUAAGUGGAAUUCCCAGUGUAGCGGUGAAAUGCGUAGAAAUUGGGAGGAACACCAGUGGCGAAGGCGACGUACUUGACGGUAACUGACGCUGAGGCGCGAAAGUGUGGGGAGCAAACAGGAUUUGAGACCCUGGGAGUCCACGCUGUAAACGAUGAAUACUAGGUGUGGGGGGACUGACCCCCUCCGUGCCGCAGUUAACACAAUAAGUAUUCCACCUGGGGAGUACGAUCGCAAGAUUGAAACUCAAAUGAAUUGACGGGG